RNAcentral lists this ribosomal RNA (708 nucleotides) under human gut metagenome. RNAcentral describes it as "bacterial SSU rRNA". It matches the Rfam family "Bacterial small subunit ribosomal RNA", at positions 611 to 1317 of the family's 1533-position model. The record is from RNAcentral.
AACGGUGGAUCCGCGCCGGGUACGGGCGGGCUUGAGUGCGGUAGGGGAGACUGGAAUUCCCGGUGUAACGGUGGAAUGUGUAGAUAUCGGGAAGAACACCAAUGGCGAAGGCAGGUCUCUGGGCCGUCACUGACGCUGAGGAGCGAAAGCGUGGGGAGCGAACAGGAUUAGAUACCCUGGUAGUCCACGCCGUAAACGGUGGAUGCUGGAUGUGGGGACCAUUCCACGGUCUCCGUGUCGGAGCCAACGCGUUAAGCAUCCCGCCUGGGGAGUACGGCCGCAAGGCUAAAACUCAAAGAAAUUGACGGGGGCCCGCACAAGCGGCGGAGCAUGCGGAUUAAUUCGAUGCAACGCGAAGAACCUUACCUGGGCUUGACAUGUUCCCGACAGCCGUAGAGAUACGGUCUCCCUUCGGGGCGGGUUCACAGGUGGUGCAUGGUCGUCGUCAGCUCGUGUCGUGAGAUGUUGGGUUAAGUCCCGCAACGAGCGCAACCCUCGCCCCGUGUUGCCAGCGGAUUAUGCCGGGAACUCACGGGGGACCGCCGGGGUUAACUCGGAGGAAGGUGGGGAUGACGUCAGAUCAUCAUGCCCCUUACGUCCAGGGCUUCACGCAUGCUACAAUGGCCGGUACAGCGGGAUGCGACAUGGCGACAUGGAGCGGAUCCCUGAAAACCGGUCUCAGUUCGGAUCGGAGCCUGCAACCCGGCU